AUACGGAGGGUGCAAGCGUUAAUCGGAAUUACUGGGCGUAAAGCGCGCGUAGGCGGCUUGGUAAGUCGGAUGUGAAAUCCCCGGGCUUAACCUGGGAAUUGCAUUCGAUACUGUCAGGCUAGAGUGUGGUAGAGGGAAGUGGAAUUUCCGGUGUAGCGGUGAAAUGCGUAGAUAUCGGAAGGAACACCAGUGGCGAAGGCGGCUUCCUGGACCAACACUGACGCUGAGGCGCGAAAGCGUGGGGAGCAAACAGGAUUAGAAACCCCAGUAGUCC
This 274-nucleotide ribosomal RNA is filed under the name uncultured bacterium. RNAcentral describes it as "partial 16S ribosomal RNA". It matches the Rfam family "Bacterial small subunit ribosomal RNA", at positions 523 to 796 of the family's 1533-position model. The record is from RNAcentral.